AGAGUUGUAUCCUGGCUCAGGAUUAACGCUGGCGGUAUGCCUAACACAUGCAAGUCGAACGAACCUUCGGGUUAGUGGCGAACGGGUGAGUAAUACAUUGGUAUCUGCCCCAGAGUAGGACAUAGCUUGCCGAAAGGUGAGGUAAUUUCCUAUAGUCUUAGUAAUAAGUAAAGCAGUAAUGCGCUCUGGGAGGAACCUUUGUCCUAUCAGCUUGUUGGUGAGGUAACGGCUCACCAAGGCUACGACGGGUAGCUGGAUCGAGAGGUUGACCAGCCACACUGGGACUGAGACACGGCCCAGACUCCUACGGGAGGCAGCAGUGAGGAAUUUUCCACAAUGGGCGAGAGCCUGAUGGAGCAAUACCGCGUGAAGGAUGACGGUCUUCGGAUUGUAAACUUCUUUUUUAUGGGAGGAUUAUGACGGUACCAUAUGAAUAAGCAUCGGCUAACUACGUGCCAGCAGCCGCGGUAAUACGUAGGAUGCAAGCGUUAUCCGGAAUUAUUGGGCGUAAAGAGUGUGUAGGUGGCACGUUAAGUUGAAUGUUAAAUCUCCGGGCUCAACUCGGGGGCUGCAUUCAAUACUGGCGAGCUCGAGGUAUGGAGAGGUAAGCGGAAUUAGUAGUGUAGCGGUGAAAUGCGUAGAUAUUACUAA
Molecule: ribosomal RNA, 651 nt
Filed under: uncultured bacterium
Lineage: Bacteria
Description: bacterial SSU rRNA
Rfam family: Bacterial small subunit ribosomal RNA
Source: RNAcentral